This 899-nucleotide ribosomal RNA is filed under the name uncultured bacterium. RNAcentral describes it as "bacterial SSU rRNA". It matches the Rfam family "Bacterial small subunit ribosomal RNA", at positions 8 to 916 of the family's 1533-position model. The record is from RNAcentral.
AGAGUUUGAUCAUGGCUCAGAAUAAACGUUGGCGGUGCGCCUUAUGCAUGCAAGUCGAACGGUCGAGUACGUAACUUGUUAUGUGCUUGAUAGUGGCGAACGGCUGAGUAACGCGUAAGUAACCUGCCUUGGAGUGGGAAAUAACUUGCCGAAAGGCGAGCUAAUGUCCCAUGUGGUAAUUAAGCAAAUGCUUGAUUAUUAAAGCCUUAGGGCGCUCCUAGAGGGGCUUGCGUCUGAUUAGCUAGUUGGCAGGGUAAUGGCCUACCAAGGCGAUGAUCCAGUAGCUGGUCUGAGAGGAUGGUCAGCCAGAUGGGGACUGGGACACGGCCCCAACUCCUACGGGAGGCAGCAGCAAGGAAUUUUGGGCAAUGAGCGAAAGCUUGACCCAGCGACACCGCGUGAGGGAAGAAGGCCUUCGGGUUGUAAACCUCUUUUCUUGGGGAAGAAUUUUGACGAUACCCAAGGAAUAAGCCUCGGCUAACUACGUGCCAGCAGCCGCGGUAAUACGUAGGAGGCGAACGUUAUUCGGAUUUACUGGGCGUAAAGGGAGCGUAGGCGGUUCCUUAAGUCAGAUGUGAAAUCUUCUGAUUCAAUCAGAAGGCGUCAUUUGAUACUAAGGGACUUGAGAGCAGCAGAGGGAAAUGGAAUCCCCGGUGUAGCGGUGAAAUGCGUAGAUAUCGGGGAGAACCACCAGUGGCGAAGGCGAUUUCCCAGGUUGUUUCUGACGCUGAGGCUCGAAAGCGUGGGGAGCGAAGCGGAUUAGAUACCCGCGUAGUCCACGCCCUAAACGGUGGACACUAGAUAUAGGGAGUAUCGACCCUUUCUGUGUCGAAGCUAACGCCUUAAGUGUCCCGCCUGGGGAGUACGACCGCAAGGCUGAAACUCAAAUGAAUUGACGG